Camellia sinensis is the source of this 191-nucleotide non-coding RNA. The record is from RefSeq and is a predicted model, not a curated record. NCBI's taxonomy places the organism in Eukaryota, Viridiplantae, Streptophyta, Magnoliopsida, Ericales, Theaceae.
UCGUGGUUACUUAUGUACUUGAUCACAUUUUGUAGGAAAACACGGUGUUCCAUAUCACUACACUGAUAGUCCUAAAGCAAGAGUCAACUUCAGAUUCGUGUCAGACCUUGAAUGAAGAAGAAAUUUUUGAAGUCCAAGACAAAUAUUCACUUUUUCCUUUUGGGUGGAUCCAUGUAAGUGUUUCAGUAGCU